RNAcentral lists this ribosomal RNA (255 nucleotides) under uncultured bacterium. RNAcentral describes it as "partial 16S ribosomal RNA". It matches the Rfam family "Bacterial small subunit ribosomal RNA", at positions 524 to 776 of the family's 1533-position model. The record is from RNAcentral.
UACGUAGGGGGCAAGCGUUUGUCCGGAUUUAUUGGGCGUAAAGAGCGUGUAGGCGGCUAGGUAGGUGGGUUGUGAAAACUGGAGGCUCAACCUUCAGACGUCGACCCAAACCCCCUGGCUAGAGUCCGGAAGAGGAGAGUGGAAUUCCUGGUGUAGCGGUGAAAUGCGCAGAUAUCAGGAGGAACACCUGUGGCGAAAGCGGCGCACUGGACCAUAACUGACGCUGGAUGCGCGAAAGCUAGGGGAGCAAACAGG